RNAcentral lists this long non-coding RNA (1260 nucleotides) under Felis catus (domestic cat). RNAcentral describes it as "lncRNA (ENSFCAG00000045756.2)". Lineage: Eukaryota; Metazoa; Chordata; Mammalia; Carnivora; Felidae. The record is from RNAcentral.
CGGUUGAGCGUCCGAUUUCAGCCAGGUCACAAUCUCGCGGUCCGUGAGUUCGAGACCCGCGUCAGGCUCUGGGCUGAUGGCUCGGAGCCUGGAGCCUGCUUCCGAUUCUGUGUCUCCCUCUCUCUCUGCCCCUACCCCGUUCAUGCUCUGUCUCUCUCUAUCCCAAAAAUAAAUAAAAAACGUUGAAAAAAAAUUUUAAAAAGGAUGAAAUACUGUUUUUGCAAUCAAAUGCCUUCAUGUAAAACUCACAUAGAUAGCUUUCCCCACCAGAAUUAUCUCAAGAUAUAUUCUAAGACUCGCAAACCUUUUGAUACUAUUAUUAUUAUUUUAUUUUAAAUUUUUAUUUUAAUCCUGAUUAGUUAACAAAUAGUGUUCUAUUAGUUCCAGGUGUGCAAUGUGGUGAUUCAACACUUCCGUACAUUACGCGGUGUUCAUCAUGACAAGUACACUCCCUAGGUGAGGGGGUGGGUCAAAUAGGUGAUGGGGAUUAAGGAAAGCAAUUACUUUUAGAGGGAUGCGAUUCUGAUUAUUUAAUGUAAAAAAAAAAUCAGUAUGAAAAAUGGAGAACGCUAGAAGAAGGAAGAGGAAAACAUAAUUUUUAAGUCCAAGGCUCCUCCCACCCUUUACUAAAGACUGUAUGUUGCCAAAUGGGGAGUCAUUUAAAAGUUAAUGUGGUAUUUUCCUUCACUUAAGAAGAUGAUGUGACAGGCCUGAUGGUAGUCCAACAUUAGAUUUUGUUUUUUUUUACCAGCAGCCGGAGUGAAUUUUCCCUGGCGCCCCGUGACUAAUGGGCGGAACUAUCCCCUGGGCGUGCAGAUUCCUUCCCUUCCCUCCACUUUGGAAGGCCUUUCCCUUGUAGCAGAGGAACUCUGAGGUCCCUCUGUCACUGCAGAAUACCCAGGAGGCAGCGGUGGAGAGGACAAGAACAGCCAGGAGCCCCGACCGGAAGGAGCCCACGAGCACGGCGUGCUGUGCCCAAGGCAGAGCCGGCCAAGCUGGUGAGUGCUGAAAAGCCGCAUGCGCAGAGCGCCUGGCCUGGAAGACGGGCCUAGAAGCUUGUCCAGAUUCGGCAGGAAAGAGCAUUCAGAUCAGUGCUGCCUGCCCUGAGUGACAGGGGAGGGUGGCAUGUGGGUCAUGUAUUUUCUACCCCUGGAACUUGGCAGGAACACCUAAUACUUGUUGCAUGCUUAUUUUUUUUUUUACCACACACCACGCUGAAUUCUUUACGCGGCUUGUAUCGUUUAACGCUCUUAACCCUAU